Molecule: transfer RNA, 67 nt
Filed under: Rattus norvegicus (Norway rat)
Lineage: Eukaryota; Metazoa; Chordata; Mammalia; Rodentia; Muridae
Rfam family: tRNA
About the family: Transfer RNA (tRNA) molecules are approximately 80 nucleotides in length. Their secondary structure includes four short double-helical elements and three loops (D, anti-codon, and T loops).
Source: Rfam by way of RNAcentral
GGAGAUUUAGCUCAGCAGUAGAGCACUUGCCUAGCAAGCAAGGCCCUGGGUUCGAUCCCCAGCUCCG